Capra hircus (goat) is the source of this 5892-nucleotide RNA transcript. It is a transcript of the gene named KIAA1462 ortholog, with no coding region annotated. The record is from RefSeq and is a predicted model, not a curated record. The transcript has 5 exons. Lineage: Eukaryota; Metazoa; Chordata; Mammalia; Artiodactyla; Bovidae.
GCGGCUCCGGGCAUGCUCGGCCGCAGAGGCUGCGAGCGGGGCGGGUCGCGCUGUUCCCCGGCCGGCCGGAGCGGCGGCGACAGCGCAGGGCAGCAUGAGGGAGCCGCUCGCGUGGGCCCUGCCACCACGACGGUCACCACGGUGGCGCUUUGAUGCGGCCAGAGCACUAUGUACAGUGUCGAAGACCUGCUGAUCUCCCACGGCUACAAGCUGUCGAGGAAGCUGCCAGCCCCGCGCGAGGAUGAUGGCAAGGGGCGACAGCCCGCGAGGACUGCGGCACCUGCAGGUCCCAGCCUGCUAAACGGCUGCGAGGAUGGCCCCACCGCCCACCCCCAGGGCAAGGCCUCUCCGGGGACUGGCCUCCUGAGCGACCCCAAGAGCCGCCGCCUCGGGCCAAGGGGCCACGGGGCGCGCCCCAGCGCUGCUGCCGCUGCCAGGAUCUCCGAGGCUGGGUUCUACCAUCAGCCGGUGCUCGCGUGGUCCUCGCAGCCCCUGACCGGCCGCAGCCACGCCUACUGGAGGAGAAGAGAGCAGGAGGCCCGGGAGGACCCAGGGGGCCGAGGCCCGGUCCCCAGCCUGCCCGCGCACCCGAGGGAGGGUCCCUGGGAAGUUGGAGGAAGGUCUGAGCACGUGAUCAAGAAGACUGUUUGGGAAGACGAGCUGGGAAUGGCGGGUCCCGCCAGAUGGCAGGACGUCAGCGUUGGAAGCUGGAACCAGCCCCCGAGACUAGGAAGGCAGAUGUCAGACGGUGUUGGCGAGAAGUUGUUUCAGGACCUGUACCCGUUCAUGCUUGGGGAGCACGGGCUGACCUCCCAGAGCAAAGGGAAGUCCCAAUCACUGCCUCGAGUCCUUUCCCCCGAGAGCCUGAGUUGCGUGGAGGUCCCCAUCCCUUUGAGCGAUGGCCAUUUACCAGGUGUCCCUAAAGUGCCACUUCAACCUCCAAAUUGUGCUUCCAAUUUGGAACCCACCAGGAAUCCCAAGAAGGCUGGCACCUCAGCCCCCUUGCCCCAGCCCAGGUUUGGGAGACCCCUCAAGCCCCCAUCUUACGGCUCCCAGCCACACUCCAGAGCCGGAGCAGAAAAUGGCAGCUACACAGACAGCAGGCAGCCGGACCCAGCUGCCCACUCAGCCAGGACGAACAGUGCCAGGCAGGACCUCUACGGGCCUGACCCCGGCCUGGAGCCCCCAGUGUACGUGCCCCCACCCUCGUACAAGUCGCCACCGCAGCCAGCCGCACACCCCUGCCCCGAGGAGGCGGUGCCCAGGCAUGAGGGCGGAGGCCGCCGUGUACCGCAGCAUCCGAUGGAGAAGCCCGCUGCUGGCGGACAGCUUCUUUCUGGCUCCCGGGGAGCUGGGAGUGAGUGGGGGGCCAGCCCAUGCUCUUCUGUGGGCGUCCCCCCACAGCCCCACCCCACCACGGCUUACGACAGCUCCAUCCUGAUAAUUCCCUUCGAUGACCCACGGAUACGACACAUUAAACUACCCCGACCCCAUGGAUUCUGGGAAGAUGUGAAACUGGAUGGUGCGGUCCCUGCCCCUGACCCAAGAGGCCUGCAGCAGGAGGGGGCCGUGUGGCGCCCAUCAGGGAAGGAGAGGGGUCCCGCCCCUGCUGACCCCAGACCCCCGUGGCUGUGGGGCCAGCCCCCCAGGAAUGGAGAAGACGGCAGCUCUCCUGACCAAAGAGACCCCUGCAUUGUCACACAGAGGAAGCAGCCCGACGUGAGCGGCAGCCCACGCGAAUAUCCAGAAAGCCUGGUGUCCUCCCCGAGCCCCCAGGGCGAGAGUUCCUGCGAGAUGCAGACCCAGCUCAGAAAGUUCGAGACAGGGCUGCAGCCCAAGAGAAGCUCAAAGAAAAAAACGAGCGAGACGAUCUUUUGUUUGGUUUCCAUCCCGGUGAAAUCAGAGUGCCAGCUGCCAGGUACAGACACAAACAACAAUGACCUGAAGCAGAGCACAGCGUUGCAAGAACAGAGUGUGCUCAGCUUGUCCUCCACCGACCUGGAGCUCCAGGCACUCACAGGCAGCAUGGCCACGAGGACAGAGCUGCCAAGACCAGACUCGGGGGGCCCGGGACGGGGCCGGCAAGCAGACGACCUCAGAUUCCCCAACCCCACAAAGCACCGUGCGCUCGCGUGGCCCGGCCCGUGGCCUGGGCACCACUUCCGAGACCAGCAAACACAAACCAGCUUCGCUCAUGAACCUCAGAGCCUGCAGCCCCUCCCAGGGGAGAGGCCAGGGGCCUCCCCCAACCCCGUGCUGCCUCCAAGGUGUUUGGACCCCGCACCCUUCGAGGUUCAGAUGCACAUGGCGUUGGCAUCCAGUGACCCGAACCAGAGGCCUGGGGCUCAUUCCCCGAAAAGUCAAGGGUCCCUCAGCCCAUCCAGCACCAGCGCCUUCUCUGGGUCUUCUUGGCAGGGCCCCACACCGAGGGCCAGCCUGGGUCAGCAGGGCUCUGAUGGCCCUGGGCGCCGAGCCAGCCCCGUGUCCAGGGCUGAGGUGAUCAAGGGGGAGACCACGGGCCCCUGCAACAGUAGACAGCUGUUCGGGCAGUUCCUCCUGAAGCCUGUGAGCCGCCGCCCCUGGGACUUGAUCAGCCAGUUAGAAAGUUUCAACAAGGAGCUUCAGGAGGAGGAAGGAAGCAGUGGCAGCAGCAGUGGUGGUAGUGGUAGCGAGGACAGUGACACAGAGCUGCCCUGGGGGAGCUGUGCCCGCCCAGCACCCCAGCGGCCAGGCCUCCUGAAGGACAUAGCGCCUGAGGACCCCAGGACCAGGCCAGGCAGAGUUAAGAGCAAGUCCGAGAGCUGGAGCGAGGAGGGGAGGCCUCGGUCCCCCAGACCCUGGCAGGCAGAAGGCAGAGGUUCUGUGUGGUUGUCGCCCCCCGGGAGCUGGAUUGCCGAAGACGGGGACCGAGAGGUUGAGGACAGGGUGGCCCAGCUGGCAGUCAGCCCAAGGCCUAUGAAACGAGCAAUAUCUUCUGGGUUGAAUGAUGCAAAACCCGAGCCCCCACCCGAUCCAGCGACACGGAAGGAGCCCCCGCCCAGCCAGGAGCUCCCAGGCAGUCUUGGAGCUGUGGAGCUGAGUGCAGCCAGCCCUCCAAAGGCGGGCGGUGGGGAGCAAGGGAGCACAAGGGCCCCCCUCUCUCUUGCCGGCAAAUCCCGAGGCCUGUCUGCACCAGACUUGAGGUCUGUGGGGCUGACGCUGGUGCAGGAGCACAGUACCAGCCAGCUAGCGGGGUCUCCGGGUGAUGCCAAUGCAAUAGAAAUCCCCCCAAAUGAGUCCCUCGAAGCCAGGGCCGCCAGGAUCCUGGGCAUCGAGGUGGCUGUGGAGUCCCUGCUGCCAGGCACCCAGAGGGCAGGGCAGAGCCGGCACCCCGAGCCAGAUGGAAGUGCCCUCAGGCCUGAGUCCCCCAGACAGGAAGCAGUGGCCAGCUUGGCCCAGCCCAAUGAGUCCACCACACCUGCCGACGCCUUCUAUGGCAGGAGGAAGUGCGGCUGGACCAAGAGCCCUCUGUUCGUAGGCGAGAGGGACAGCACCCGGCAGGCUCCCCGGGCCUCUGAGCCCAUGGGUGUGGACGGGGCCGUCCCCAGCAAUGCCCCCGAACCUCCGCCCAGCCCUCCGGAGUCCCAGCCUUUCCUUCCCAAGGACGUGGAGACAAAGCCACCCUUCAGGUCCACCUUGUUCCACUUUAUAGAAAGGACCCCAAACUUGGCAUUCUCAGAAAGGAAGCUCCGAAGCACUUCCAGAGUGAUCGAAAGUUUACAGGAGAAGCUGGUUUCCCCGCCCAGGAAGGCGGACCCCGACCGCCUGAUGAGGAUGAAGGAGGUGAGCUCUGUGUCUCGGAUGAGGCUCCUGACGUCCCGGGGCACGGACUCCGAGGAGGAGCCCAAGGCCGAGAGGGGCCCCGGGGCGUGGCCGGGAGGCCUGGUGGCUCCCAGCACUGGGCAUGAGCUCUCCGACCCCCAAGGUGCUCUGUCGCUGGAAGUAGACGGGCAUCCAGCAGCACGAAGGGAGAACGGCGGCCGGGACUUCUGGUGCCCAGAGAAUCCCAUGGACGGAGGAGCUUGGAGGUUACAGUCCAUGGGGUUGCAAAGAGUCAGACACGACUGAAGCGAAUGAAGCAAGACGCGAAUAACCUGCAUUGCUUGGUUAGCCUAAUGAGAAAAGACGUACCCAGAUUCCUAUGACCCAAGCAGGGUGGAGAGGGUGUGAUGGCACGCCGCUGGAGUGUGGGGCCGCGUCUUUUGCUGAUGGGUGACCCCCCCAAGCUGGCCUCAGCCCAGCCACCUGGGAGGAACCUCACUGGGCCAUCCUUCCCCAUGGCCAGGACACACAUCGACUCCACAGAGUCACUCUGUGGAAAUAAAGCAGUAGUCUGUUGAAAGCAUCUGUUUUUAUAGCACGAAGGGUUAAUACCUAUAUUUAGAAAAGAGUUACAAGGACCCUCCUUAAUGAUGGAUUUAGCCCAGUUGAUAGAGCGUUUGGUGUUAAUCUGGCUAUAUGUGAAAACUCAAAUGUGGGUGGUUUAAUGAAUGAUUUUGAAAGGACCAAGAAUGUCAUAAAUCCCCCUUCGCAUCCCUGUGGCCUGCUGCCCACGCUCACUUUCGGGAGUUUGGGGGACGUAGGCCAUUGCUAGUGUUUCAGCACUUUGAGUUUCCGGGAAAUGUGAACACCUAUGUAUGAUCCAUUUCUCAUCAAUUUGGCCUUCUGCUGCUGAAGUCACUUUAACUAUUAAGUAACUUGCCAUCAGCAAAUGAAAGCGGUAGCUUGUAAGUUUCCAAAAGAUGAAACCUUGUACCAUGAUGGACAAGAGUAUUAUUUAUCGGCAAUGAGACGCUCUGAUCUUUUGCAAACAUGCCAUUGUCUGCUUUGCACUCAGUAUUAUCUAUUUUUAUUUCCUGUAUGGAUGUCUAGAAGUUCUUUAUAUGAGAAAUAAUUGCUGGUAAAAUAGACCAUUUUAACAAAGUAACUAUAUUUCUUUUUACCAAAAAAAAAUGCUAUUUUUCUAUGAUGUAAACAGUUGUUAGGUGGCAGAUUUUUAAGGAAGUUUAUUGUAUUUAAGAGUCUGUAUCCCUUUGUGUGAGAGGAACCCAGAGAGGGUUCGCAUUUGCUUUAAAGCAUAAACCCCUCACCCAUUCACAACUCUUGCUACUCUUAGUUUAUCUUAGAAAGAGAUGUCAAUAGAGACAUUUUUCAGGGUUAAUAAAAUUAACUUUUCACAAAGUUUUUUUUUUUUUUUACAAAUGCAGCUAUAAGGUUAUAUUUGAAAAUAACCCUCUUAGAACCAGCCAACAACAUCCUUACAACAAAUUUUUGCUGCCAUAUUCACUAGAAUUACCAAAAAACCCCCAUAGUUUCAUCUUUGUUCAUCUGCGGGGAUAUGCCCUGAGACCAGAUCCCCCUCCCCUCACCCCCAUUGUCCCUUUAAAGAAAUGUGUAUUUUUAUCUAGAAUGAUCUUUAAUUAGCCUCUGCCUAUUUUCCAAAAGUGCUAGAGACAUUAUAUGUACGCCAUUACAGAAGUAUUAUGAGGCCUAUGUAUUCUGCUGUUUACUAUUGCAUUAAUCUGCACAAAGUUUAUGCAUUUUUUAAAAAAUGUGUUUGUCACUUCUUUCUAAGUCAGGCUUUCUCGUGAGCUAACAUUUCCUCAAUGGUUUCUGUCUCCUCCCUCCCUCCCCCCUUUUCGUCUUUUUUUCCUUCUCUUUCUUUUUCUUUUUCAGAAACCACCUUAUCAGUUUCUAAGCAUUUUGAAUUCCUAAGAUGUGAACUGCUGAGUGGUCUGCCAUUUGGCCCUGAAAUAGCUCUGGGCUCUCAUGGCCUGCUUUUAUCUGUCCCAUAUGAUUGUAUUUCAUCAGAACUUCAUGCAUUUGGACAGUAAUAAACAACACGGAGUCUAA